This 431-nucleotide ribosomal RNA is filed under the name uncultured bacterium. RNAcentral's name for it is "bacterial SSU rRNA". It matches the Rfam family "Bacterial small subunit ribosomal RNA", at positions 29 to 507 of the family's 1533-position model. The record is from RNAcentral.
AACGAACGCUGGCGGCAGGCCUAACACAUGCAAGUCGAGCGCGCCCUUCGGGGUGAGCGGCGGACGGGUUAGUAACGCGUGGGAAUAUGCCCAGAUCUGCGGAAUAGCCUCUGGAAACGGAGAGUAAUACCGCAUACGCCCUUCGGGGGAAAGAUUUAUCGGAUUUGGAUUAGCCCGCGUUGGAUUAGGUAGUUGGUGGGUAAUGGCCUACCAAGCCGACGAUCCAUAGCUGGUUUGAGAGGAUGAUCAGCAACACUGGGACUGAGACACGGCCCAGACUCCUACGGGAGGCAGCAGUGGGGAAUCUUAGACAAUGGGGAAACCCUGAUCUAGCCAUGCCGCGUGAGUGACGAAGGCCCUAGGGUCGUAAAGCUCUUUCAGCUGUGAAGAUAAUGACGGUAGCAGCAGAAGAAACCCCGGCUAACUCCGUG